CGACAAAGUAGCUCAACUCGUUUCAGAUCAGCCACCAAUCGGUCAUUUAGAGACAGGCAUGCAUUCUACGGCAGGGAUGCCUUUUUCGGCAUAACACCGGCAACGCUGCUCAAGCUAUUUUCAAAUCAAAGACGAGCCGAAGACAAGAGCAUGGUUUCACGAGUGCUCCGUUCGUACUCCAACCACACACUCAGACCCGUUGCCACUGUGGAACUUCCAAUAAGGUACAGAGCUUGUGAAGCAAAUAGCAAGUUUGAGCUGGUGAACAUUGCACAGGAAAAUGUGCUAAGUGGUGCAACAGCAGAGGCUUUAGGUCUCAUAGCUCGACUAAACUCACUGAAACCCCAAGCUGAAGAAGCAGAAAGAAACAUUACUGUGAGCAGCGAGGUAACCCAAACCAUACCAGCAGGACUGGAGGAUUUUCCCGAGCUGUCGCAAACCACUGGUACAUUGCCAGAUAUUAAACGUGUAAACAUUCACGAAAUUAAAAAAUGGAGCAAGCCAUUGAAGAACGAGGGAAACUCCUUGUUGACUAUUUUAGGAACAAACCAACCAACGAUGACAUCAAAAAAGUCAGAAUGCAUGAAGGUGAUGAGGUUUUAAGGAAGAAAAAUGGGACCUCAUAUUCCACACAGAAGAGACAAUCACUGCGGCUGAUAUUGAGAGGACCUGCUGCCUACCAAAUAGUCCAAGGCUGAUAAUUCUUAGUAUAAUCUUACCUUUCAUCAGCUCAGUUUCUUGUUGCUUUUUAACGUUUGAAUAAAUUUUGAUGGUUGUUGGUGACGGCUUUAGUAAACGGAAAUGGAUGAUUGUAAUUGAAGAACAGGUGAUUCGCCAAGGGGUGUAGCCAACCUUCAUGUCUGGGUUAGCAACACUCUGUGUGUUACUACAGCUUUAACCUCCAAUAUCAAGAUGGCGCUGCUUGCACUCUUGAAUUUAUACAAAGGUAAAAUUUGGUGACAUUGACUUUUCAAAAGUGAAUUACAUUGGAAAGUCCUUAGCUAUAAACCUUAUUAGCAACAACACUAUGCUCAUACUCACAGACACACACUAAACUCAGACAGACACAGACACACAUUCAAAGGCCUUCAUAUAUAUACCACACGUUUCCAGGCCGACACAAAUAUACCACACACAGACACACAUUCUCAGACUGAGAAACACUAAAAACUGUCUCUCGCUCCCCCUGAGGGCAGCAGGCCCUUUAUCUAUGGUCUUCAUACAGACUUCUGGAGCCGGGGGGUCAGACUGACUUGGUAGAGUAAGUUGUAUGAGAUAGACAAAGAACAUGAUGAGCGAGUAGCAAGGACAGAAAGAAACAAAAAUAAGAAAUAUGAAAGCUUUAGAGUGAACUAAAUGAAAAUAAUUAAAUAACUACAAAUUAAUUUGAGAAAUCCCUCAAUAAUGACACACGCAUAUAAACAAACAUACACUCAUACCCACAGAUACAAACACUCUGACAUACACAAAGAUAAACGAUUUUCCUUGUACAGAUAGAUUGAUUGUGCAUGUUUUUUCUUUCAGAAAUUUCUUCAAAAUCAACCCAGAGAGAGGGUCAAAGGCAAGCAAAGGAAAAAUGAAGAGCAAAAAGACUGGAAAGUUAGUCCAGAAGAAGUCUUUUGCCAUCAACCCACACAUUUGCUCACUAAUUAGAAAGCUCACUGAGUUUGAAUGGGACUUCAUAUAAGGUACCUGAAGCAUUUUAUUCAUGCACAUAAAGCACUAUUUUAGGAUAUUACAUUCAUUUAUAGCUUUGUGUCUGAACUUUUUGAAAACCAGAUUUCAAUGAGUUGAAAUCUGUCGGAAGUGAUGUGAAAUUUACCUGUGAAACUAAAAUGGUUAAUAGUUAGCAGGGUUUUUUUUAUUGCUUGUGUACUUCACUGUUUGUAGGGAUUCUGCCGAACGUGACCCCCUGGAAUUAUUAUUUUUUAAGACUUUCUACCUGCUUCUGUUCCCUUCACAUACUAUUGCUCCUGUGAACUUGAUGUUAGUUUGUUUAUUGCUUAAUUAUUUCAACAAUUAGUUUUGGAUUUUCGAAAAUCACAAUAAUUUUUAAUGACAUGAUGGUGAAACAUUGGAAAUGUAAGAAUUGUUGAACAUUUUCCAUUAACAUCUUUAUACAAAAAUAAGAUUUUUGUAAACUAAGGGCGGGGGGCUGCGCCUGGGGUCUCUCCCCUCCUCCUCCUGCUGGGGUGGGGACGCGGCUGUCAUGGGAACGUGGGGCCUUGGCUCUUCUGUGCUCUUGGGGGGCUGUGGACGCCUUGGGUCUCCUGGGCCUGUCUCCGCUGGCCUCUGGCUCUUGUGGGGUGGGGUUGCGGCCCCCCGCCCUUGCUAUCAAGUACAUUCCAUGGAGAAAUUCACACGCACCCAACACACGUAUACGUGUUCACACACAUCCCCCACACAGAAGAACACACAUGCAAACCCACUUCCUCACUCCCUUCCAAGCACAUGCAACAAUU
Molecule: long non-coding RNA, 2462 nt
Organism: Paramormyrops kingsleyae
Lineage: Eukaryota; Metazoa; Chordata; Actinopteri; Osteoglossiformes; Mormyridae
Source: RefSeq, a predicted model, not a curated record